This 720-nucleotide ribosomal RNA is filed under the name Erysiphe hypophylla. RNAcentral describes it as "eukaryotic LSU rRNA". It matches the Rfam family "Eukaryotic large subunit ribosomal RNA", at positions 1 to 733 of the family's 3401-position model. Lineage: Eukaryota; Fungi; Ascomycota; Leotiomycetes; Helotiales; Erysiphaceae. The record is from RNAcentral.
UUGACCUCGAAUCAGGUAGGAAUACCCGCUGAACUUAAGCAUAUCAAUAAGCGGAGGAAAAGAAACCAACCGGGAUUACCUCAGUAACGGCGAGUGAAGCGGUAACAGCUCAAAUUUGAAAUCUGGCUCUUCCGGAGUCCGAGUUGUAAUUUGUAGAAGAUGCUUUGGGUUGUGGGUUCGGCCUAAGUUCCUUGGAACAGGACGUCAUAGAGGGUGAGAAUCCCGUAUGUGGCCGAGGCCCGCGCCUAUGUAAAGCUCUUUCAACGAGUCGAGUUGUUUGGGAAUGCAGCUCAAAAUGGGUGGUAAAUUUCAUCUAAAGCUAAAUAUGGGCCAGAGACCGAUAGCGCACAAGUAGAGUGAUCGAAAGAUGAAAAGCACUUUGGAAAGAGAGUUAAACAGUACGUGAAAUUGUUGAAAGGGAAGCGCUUGCAACCAGACUUGGGCGCUGUCGAUCACCCCGAGUUCUCUCGAGUGCACUCGACAGCGCACAGGCCAGCAUCGGUUCGGGUGGCUGGAUAAAGGCCGUAGGAACGUGGCUCCCUUCGGGGAGUGUUAUAGCCUACGGUGCCAUGCAGCCCAGCCGGACCGAGGACCGCGCCUUCGGGCUAGGAUGCUGGCGUAAUGGUUGUAAGCGACCCGUCUUGAAACACGGACCAAGGAGUCUAACAUCUAUGCGAGUGUUUGGGUGGUAAACCCAUACGCGGAAUGAAAGUGAACGUA